This 376-nucleotide ribosomal RNA is filed under the name uncultured delta proteobacterium. RNAcentral describes it as "bacterial SSU rRNA". It matches the Rfam family "Bacterial small subunit ribosomal RNA", at positions 485 to 859 of the family's 1533-position model. The record is from RNAcentral. Lineage: Bacteria; Deltaproteobacteria.
AGGAAGCACCGGCUAACUCCGUGCCAGCAGCCGCGGUAAUACGGAGGGUGCAAGCGUUGUUCGGAAUCACUGGGCGUAAAGCGCGUGUAGGCGGCCUUCUAAGUCAGAUGUGAAAGCCCUUAGCUCAACUAAGGAAUUGCAUCUGAAACUAGUUGGCUUGAGUACGGGAGAGGAGAGUGGAAUUCCCGGUGUAGAGGUGAAAUUCGUAGAUAUCGGGAAGAACACCGGUGGCGAAGGCGGCUCUCUGGACCGAUACUGACGCUGAGACGCGAAAGCGUGGGGAGCAAACAGGAUUAGAUACCCUGGUAGUCCACGCCGUAAACGAUGGGCACUAGGUGUGGAGGGUAUUGACCCCCUCUGUGCCGUAGCUAACGCA